CCUACGGGAGGCAGCAGUGAGGAAUAUUGGUCAAUGGGCGCGAGCCUGAACCAGCAAAGUCGCGUGCGGGAAGACGGUCCUAUGGAUUGUAAACCUCUUUUGUCGGGGAGCAAAAGACGCCACGCGUGGCGUUCCGAGAGUACCCGACGAAAAAGCAUAGGCUAACUCUGUGCCAGCAGCCGCGGUACUCCGGAAGGUCCGAGCGUUAUCCGGAUUUAUUGGGUUUAAGGGGAGGGUAGGCCGCAUGACAAGCGUGCUGUGAAAUGUCCGGGCUCAACCCGGGCCUUGCAGCGCGAACUGGCGUGCUUGAGUCCGCUGAAAGCAGGCGGAAUUCGUCGUGUAGCGGUGAAAUGCGUAGAUAUGACGAAGAACCGCGAUUGCGAAGGCAGCUUGCUGCAGCGGAACUGACGCUGAUGCUCGAAAGCGCGGGUAUCGAACAGGAUUAGAUACCCUAGUAGUC
This 460-nucleotide ribosomal RNA is filed under the name uncultured bacterium. RNAcentral describes it as "partial 16S ribosomal RNA". It matches the Rfam family "Bacterial small subunit ribosomal RNA", at positions 338 to 795 of the family's 1533-position model. The record is from RNAcentral.